RNAcentral lists this ribosomal RNA (427 nucleotides) under uncultured bacterium. RNAcentral's name for it is "partial 16S ribosomal RNA". It matches the Rfam family "Bacterial small subunit ribosomal RNA", at positions 355 to 774 of the family's 1533-position model. The record is from RNAcentral.
UGGGGAAUAUUGCACAAUGGGCGCAAGCCUGAUGCAGCCAUGCCGCGCGUAUGAAGAAGGCCUUCGGGUUGUAAAGUACUUUCAGCGGGGAGGAAGGCGAUAAGGUUAAUAACCUUGUCGAUUGACGUUACCCGCAGAAGAAGCACCGGCUAACUCCGUGCCAGCAGCCGCGGUAAUACGGAGGGUGCAAGCGUUAAUCGGCAUUACUGGGCGUAAAGCGCACGCAGGCGGUCUGUCAAGUCGGAUGUGAAAUCCCCGGGCUCAACCUGGGAACUGCAUUCGAAACUGGCAGGCUAGAGUCUUGUAGAGGGGGGUAGAAUUCCAGGUGUAGCGGUGAAAUGCGUAGAGAUCUGGAGGAAUACCGGUGGCGAAGGCGGCCCCUUGGACAAAGACUGACGCUCAGGUGCGAAAGCGUGGGGAGCAAACA